CCACUCACUUAAGUGGAAUCACACUGAACCAAAAAACAAUGUCUGCCAUCAUGCCAGGGCCCAGAGUGCCUUUGGACUCCCCUCUCCACACAGUGUGCUCAAAGCCCCGUUGACCCCAGGAUCUGUAACAAGGGAGAUUUGCCCUCCAAGCGAGAUGCCCACGGCCUUCUCAUCUGUGUUUUCCGAUCGCUGGCACGUGAAGUCUUGGCAGAUGUUUCCCACAAGGGAGCCCCAGUCCAGCUGGUGUCUCUGCCAGCCCCAUUCCUCUUUGAAAAGCAAAUAAGCCAUUCGCCUGUAAUCUAAUCAACGGAUUUCAAAAAGCGCCAAAAAAAGAAACUGCUGGUCCAAAAAUAAACGCUUUGGGCCACCUCUCCCUCCUGACAUGGUUUCUCUCGGUGGCCCUGGCAUGGGGGUGGAG
This 418-nucleotide long non-coding RNA is filed under the name Bos taurus (domestic cattle). RNAcentral describes it as "long non-coding RNA NONBTAT015492". Lineage: Eukaryota; Metazoa; Chordata; Mammalia; Artiodactyla; Bovidae. The record is from RNAcentral.